Long non-coding RNA from Bos taurus (domestic cattle), 606 nucleotides. The record is from Ensembl. NCBI's taxonomy places the organism in Eukaryota, Metazoa, Chordata, Mammalia, Artiodactyla, Bovidae.
GGGAAUAUGGCCAAUAGUUGUUACGCUUUUAUGUCGGCCACGCCCUCUAGGUCCCGCCCCAUUGGGGCCCCGAAGUCUCUAAGUUGCGGUUUCUACAGGAACGUGGAUUUUUGUUUGUUUAAAUGCAGGGCUUUAUCUCCCGCAGAAAGCUCUCAGGAUAGGACCUGGAGGAUAGAUCCCCAGGGUUCUUUGCCAUGUUCCCCAUCGGGCCUCCAGGCGGCGCCACGACCACAUAACAGCCUUUCUUGCCAGGCUCAGUUCAGUUCAGUCGCUCAGUCAUGUUCGACUCUUUGCGACCCCAUGAAUUGCAGCACGCCAGGCCUCCCUGUCCAUCAGCAACUCCCAGAGUUCACUCAAACUCACGUCCAUCGAGUCGGUGAUGCCAUCCAGCCAUCUCAUCCUCUGUCGUCCCCUUCUGGUCCUGCGCCCAAUCCCUCCCAGCAUCAGAGUGUUUUCCAAUGAGUCAACUCUUCGCAUGAGGUGGCCAAAGUACUGGAGUUGCAGCUUUAGCAUCAUUCCUUCCAAAGAAAUCCCAGGGCCGAUCUCCUUCAGAAUGGACUGGUUGGAUCUCCUUGCAGUCCAAGGGACUCUCAAGAGUCUUCUCCA